RNAcentral lists this ribosomal RNA (497 nucleotides) under uncultured bacterium. Its description in RNAcentral is "partial 16S ribosomal RNA". It matches the Rfam family "Bacterial small subunit ribosomal RNA", at positions 28 to 507 of the family's 1533-position model. The record is from RNAcentral.
GAUGAACGCUGGCGGCGUGCCUAAUACAUGCAAGUCGAGCGAACGGACGAGAAGCUUGCUUCUCUGAUGUUAGCGGCGGACGGGUGAGUAACACGUGGAUAACCUACCUAUAAGACUGGGAUAACUUCGGGAAACCGGAGCUAAUACCGGAUAAUAUUUUGAACCGCAUGGUUCAAAAGUGAAAGACGGUCUUGCUGUCACUUAUAGAUGGAUCCGCGCUGCAUUAGCUAGUUGGUAAGGUAACGGCUUACCAAGGCAACGAUGCAUAGCCGACCUGAGAGGGGGAUUGGCCCACCUGGAACUGAGACACGGUCCCGAAUCCUAAGGGAGGCAGGCGUAGGGAAUCCUUCGCAAUGGGGGGAAGCCUGACGGAGCAACGGCGCGUGAGUGAUGAAGGUCUUCGGAUCGUAAAACUUCGUUAUUAGGGAAGAACAUAUGUGUAAGUAACUGUGCACAGCUUGACGGUACCUAAUCAGAAAGCCACGGCUAACUACGUG